GGUGACCAUAGCGCAGAGGCCACACCCGUUCCCAUCCCGAACACGGAAGUUAAGCUCUGCCACGCCGAUGAUACUGCAUGGUUAACUGUGUGGGAAAGUAGGUAGUUGCCG
This 111-nucleotide ribosomal RNA is filed under the name Syntrophorhabdus sp. PtaU1.Bin058. The record is from RNAcentral. Lineage: Bacteria; Pseudomonadati; Thermodesulfobacteriota; Syntrophorhabdia; Syntrophorhabdales; Syntrophorhabdaceae.